AUCUUCUUAGCUCACUCCAAUACUAUGGAAGAUCUAUGUACAAACCCCACUCUAAUAAUUAGCAGCAAAACCAAAAGUACGAUCACAUCAAAACCCAUAUCAAGUCUGAACUUCUAGGUCAUUUAAAUAAUAUCUGAACAUGGUAUAACCGAUAUACCAAUGUUGACCUUCCUACACUAAUCUUAGGUCAAACCUCUCUUAUCAUGAUCAAAGACAAUUUAUACUUUCUUUCUACACUAAUCGAAAAUCAAACCCGAUGCAUACAUUUUAUCACAAUACCCAGUAAUCUUACACCUUAAGCAC
Molecule: long non-coding RNA, 303 nt
Filed under: Phoenix dactylifera (date palm)
Lineage: Eukaryota; Viridiplantae; Streptophyta; Magnoliopsida; Arecales; Arecaceae
Description: long non-coding RNA (PDAC_LNC014295)
Source: RNAcentral